Molecule: ribosomal RNA, 549 nt
Filed under: uncultured Glomus
Lineage: Eukaryota; Fungi; Glomeromycota; Glomeromycetes; Glomerales; Glomeraceae
Description: SSU rRNA
Rfam family: Eukaryotic small subunit ribosomal RNA
Source: RNAcentral
UUGGAGGGCAAGUCUGGUGCCAGCAGCCGCGGUAAUUCCAGCUCCAAUAGCGUAUAUUAAAGUUGUUGCAGUUAAAAAGCUCGUAGUUGAAUUUCGGGAUCAAUUGGUCGGUCGUGCCUCGGUACGUACUGGUCAAAUUGAUUCCUACCUUCUGACGAACCACGAUGUCAUUAAUUUGGUGUCGCGGGGAAUCAGGACUGUUACUUUGAAAAAAUUAGAGUGUUUAAAGCAGGCUCUCGCUUGAAUACAUUAGCAUGGAAUAAUGAAAUAGGAUGUUUGAUUCUAUUUUGUUGGUUUCUAGGAUCGACGUAAUGAUUAAUAGGGAUAGUUGGGGGCAUUAGUAUUCAAUUGUCAGAGGUGAAAUUCUUGGAUUUAUUGAAGACUAACUACUGCGAAAGCAUUUGCCAAGGAUGUUUUCAUUAAUCAAGAACGAAAGUUAGGGGAUCGAAGACGAUCAGAUACCGUCGUAGUCUUAACCAUAAACUAUGCCGACUAGGGAUCGGAUGAUGUUAAUUUUUUAAUGACUCAUUCGGCGCCUUACGGGAAACA